RNAcentral lists this long non-coding RNA (535 nucleotides) under Gossypium raimondii (Peruvian cotton). Its description in RNAcentral is "long non-coding RNA (GRAI_LNC000139)". Lineage: Eukaryota; Viridiplantae; Streptophyta; Magnoliopsida; Malvales; Malvaceae. The record is from RNAcentral.
CAAAAGUUGUAAUAAUUUAUAUAAUUAGAUAAUAGUUUCUGAAAUUUGUGUUUCACAGAACAUUAUGAGAUUUGGAUAAUUAGUUAAUGUUUUAUGUAAUUAAAAAAUUAUAAUUGUUGUAGAGCCAAAAUUUUGCUCGGAGUCCAAUAAACAAAAUCACUAAAUCCAAUUACAAUAACCCUAACCCAAAUUACCAGCCCAAGCCCAAAUAAAAAAUUACAAGCCUAAAAAACAAACAAAAUCAGAAAAAAAAAAAAACCUAAGGUUCCCUAACCCUUUUUGCGCCGCAUGCCUCAUGCACCCCCGCCUGCUCUCUGCCACAACUCCGUACAUGCACACCCUUGCACCUGCAACGACCUACAGCAAUCGCAACAAACGCAAGCAGCAGCAAAGAAAAAGAACAAUAGCAGAAGACACGAGGACAACAUAGAAAAAAUAGCAGAAAAAAACAAAAAAAAACAAAAAGAGAAAUGUCCUGAAUUUUUCUAUUGUAUUUUCGGCUAUAUAAAGCCGUUUUCGGUUUUUGUAAAGGGCC